RNAcentral lists this long non-coding RNA (4609 nucleotides) under Zea mays. RNAcentral's name for it is "long non-coding RNA (ZMAY_LNC003958)". Lineage: Eukaryota; Viridiplantae; Streptophyta; Magnoliopsida; Poales; Poaceae. The record is from RNAcentral.
CCUUGUCUGUCAUCACCCCAUGAUCUCAACCACAGCUCGUCCUACGAUCUUGCCAUGAUUGAGAUCCUCAUAGGCGCCAUUCGCCUCCUCGAAUUUGCAUUUCCUUGAUAUGGUGUUCUGGAGAUUGAAGGCACCACUCUCCGCGAGCUUCACUAUCUGAGGAAGGUCUUUCCUGGCCCUUGCGCCAUAUGAGCCAAUGAUUUUCACCUGGUUCCAAAUAAACAUGAGCGGAUGGACAAGGAACCACAAUACAGAAGGAUGAACAAGGAAUCAAUUGCAUACCUAUCGUCGGACAAGACGGGUUAUAUCAACCUCUCCCAUUACGUUCAUUGCAGCAAGCCCGAUCAUAACAGCUUUGCCUCCAUCACGCACGCUCUUGGCGCACUGGGAAAAUGUUAACGCCUUACCAAGUGCAUCUAUAGCCACAUCUACACCCCUACCAUCAGUAAUUUCCUGUGAACAGCAAGGCAUUCACAUCUGAAUAGUAUUAAUACAUAGCUGGAAAGUUCCAUAUGCACAUUUUGACACAGCCCACUUGAAGAAAAAGAAAAACAAGAUAAGCAAUAGCAUGACUUGUAAUGAAGUAGAUAUAUAGAAUUACUUUCUGAACUUCAUUGAUAGAUUACAAACUUUGGUAGUCUGAGACAUACCUUUAUACUUUCAACUGCAUCAUCGUUUGCUGCAUUUACAGUGUGGGUUGCUCCAAGUGUUGUAGCGUUCUGGAGCUUCUCAUCAAGGACAUCCACUGCAAUGACUUGGGAAGCUCCAAAGGCUUUUGCUAUCUGUAAACAGCUGCAAAUAAAAGAACUGUUUUUUUUAAGAUUCAAGUAAGAGGGAAGAAGAAGGGUCAUGUUUGUUUGUGCAUUCAUAGUCCCAAAAAAGUGGAGAAAAGAAAUAUCCUCAAAUUUAUCAGACAUCAGCUGACCUUGACUCAACCCCUCCAACUCCAAUCACAGCUACCGAAUCACCAGGCCGCAUUUCAGCAGGAGGCCUUAGGGCACCAUACGCGGUAAACACUGCACAUCCUAAAAUUGCUGAUUCUGUGUAUGGCAAUGAGUCAGGAAGAACUGCUAGCGCAUUGGCUGGGACAACACAAUACUCUGCAAGCCCUCCCAUACUAUACAUGUACACCGAUUUCCCUGCAGAUGGAGAAUUUUCAGGUUACUUGAAGCAAUUAUAUUGUGGUGUUCUCGAUAAAAAAAAUACUGUGGUGUUACUGAUGAUGAUGCAUGAUGUGGAUCUGUUUCCUCAGGUUACCAUUGCCCCUUAGAAACAGUCGUGUCUCGCCAUCAUAGAGUGUCCCCUUGGCACAAUUAUACGCGAAGAAAGACUCGCACAGAUCUUCUUGGCCCUGUAUCAAAUCAAUGGGCAUGAGCGUAACAAGCAAGAAAAGCACAGAAACAUAUGUCGUAAUUCAACGAAGUUGCUCUACCUUAACGCAGUAGAAGCAAUUCCCACAUGGCAUUAUGAAGGCGCCGACGUAGUCCAAGAUCUUAAAAGCAUAAUGACAAAUAUUAGUAAUUCUUGUACACUGGUUACAGAAGGCAUGCCAAGUCAUAAUUGCAGAAGAACAGAUCACAUAUUCACAUUUUAAUAUAAAGUUACAAGCAAUGGCCAAAUUCGCAUCUCUAAGCCAAUAUUAUUGAGUUGUUUUCCCAUUUACUUCGAAGCAGUUGUAAAUUUGAAUGUAAACUGAAACAAUGGGACUAAAAGGUAUUUUUCUCUCUAAAAAGUAUACACAUAAAAGGGAGAUGAGUAACAUAACAUAGCACAUCGUAGUAUUUGACAGUAGCUCAAGGAAUCUUGGACACCUGAAAGCCAAAAAGCACAAGAACAAAUCUACAGAUAACAGAACAAAAAAGCAACCCCAUUCACCAAUGCGAACAGAAACAUUCCAUUCUAUCUACAUGUUAAUGCACUUCAGAGGGCACCAGGCGAACCUUUCUCGACGUGGCGGUUGCAGGUUUAACGGUGAAGACGGGGAUGCGAAAAAAGCGACGUGAUUACCUGACUGAGGAGAGAGGAGGAGGUGGCCUCGGAUCCGGAGGACGCGGCGGAGGUGGACGGCGAGGUGUCGGGGUCGGGGAGUCGAGGAGGACAGCGAGGAGGAGGACGCAUGCGAGGGCGAGGAGGAGGGAGAGCAAGAGGCGCACCCACCACGGCCGCUGCUGCCACCGGCGCUUGAACGGCGGUCGUCGCUGGUCCAGGAACGGCCGCCUCAGCGGGCCGCGCUCUCGCCGGCAGGGCGGGAGGGGAUGCGGCGCGGGAUCGCGAGAAGAGGAUCCAUGGACAGAGCGGCAGUGGGCUGCACGGUAGGGGCGGAGGACGCGUGGGGGAGGCGGGGGAGAGCGGGCGUAGCGGGGGAGAGCAGGCGUAGCGGGGGAUUCGCCGCGGGCGUAGCGGGGGAUUAGCAGCGGGCGGUUGGGGAAUCGCGGUGGCGGGGGGCGAGAGGAAUCUCGCGGUAGGGGCGGGCGGGUGCGUUAUCGCGGGCGGGAGGGGAUGGAGCGGGGGCAGUCUACACUUGCCCUGAAUUUGCAUCAUUACAAACCAUCAUCAGUGAGAACAAUCACAUGGCUGUCAUCUAGGUUCAAAACUUAAUACAUCCAUUGUUUAUCUCCACUUCUGUAUAAAAAUGCAUGAUCAGGAUACAUUAGAAGUGUGCGCUCAAGUUAUGUCUGCCAUUUCCUUCCAGCAUAUGCUAAAACAAAACAAUUGCUUGACAUUAAUAGAGCAACUAUCACACUUACAUAGGUAACAUCAUUUUCUUCAAAGGUAUUUCGCAUAUUAAGUUUAUCAACAACAGUUCUUCUCUAGAAGAGGAAGCAGGGGAAAAGUAGUUAAUCAGAUAUUGGACAAGAAUUGCUAGUGUACCUAGUAAUGAACUCUGGAUCAAGAUAAAAAACUCAUUAAUUCUUUUGAGCUGACACAACAUUAAGGGUCGUACAUGUCGUAGUACCCGUCGUCGUACCUGAGCCCUGUUGGAUUGGAUCGCCCACGCACGCAGCAGAUCUAAAACGCCCUGCCACUCAAAUCCAAGGAAUCAGCUAGUAUUUGGCGUGAUGGUGCCCAGUCUCGAGGAGCAGUUGCAGGAUCUUGCCAUGCCAAAACAAUCAGAGCAUCAAACACCCUACGUCAUGGCUAUUUUAAAUUUCACUAUAUUUACCUAAAAACAACGAUUUGCAUGAUCAUAUACACGAUCUGCUGGAGAUAACAUAAUUAAGUUGACACUUAGCACACCAAGAAACAAGCUACCAAUGCCACCAAAUACCCUACGUCAGGUACAAGUCAGGUUGCAAUCUGGUGACAUUGAACGAACCGAGACGGCCAGGACAUUCGCCUUCCAACUCUAAAAAAAAGGUCAGGUGGCAAUUCAAACAAUCACCAUGGGUACGAACACUAAAACCUUGCUGGUAUGCCUGAUCCCAGGGCUCGUUUACCAGCUCCAGCCUCAUCGAUUCUCUCCUGUGUCGGCCGCGACAACAAUGGCCGGCAAGAUCGAGAUCUUCACCGUGUACCAGCACGACAGGCUGAACGAGACCGGGUACGUCGUCGUCACCGGCGACGAAGGCGCCCCCUCGAGUGACACACCAAAGUGGUUCAAUGUGAUUGUUUUUGUUCUAGCCAAAGUAUGACAUAUAGCUUCUCAAAACUGAAAUGGGUUUCAAUUGAUAAAUUUUCAUCAGGUUUUCGCACGAGCAGUAGUGGGCCUCGUGUUCAUUUUAUGUUUGAGCGACAAAUUGACUAACAUAUCGCAGGCUACUAAAGAACAGUUGCAGCAACAAAUUCUCUUGAAAACUUACCUUGGCCUGAGAAGCUGUGGUAGUCGUCGUUGCGUUGCAGCGAACCCCCGACGGUGUCCUGCCGUCCGGUCCGGGUCAGUGUUCAUAUUUUUGCAACGACAUAGUCUCGUAUUGUCAUUUAACAAAGGAAAACCAUUGAAACAUUAGACAACAUAAAAACUGAUAUACACAUUUAGGCAUGUUGAAACACUCAGGCUGGUACAUGCAACGCAGAAAUUCACGCAACACAGGUACCAUCCACGCAACACUGCCAACAUAAUAACUGAACAAAUGAAAUAUUCAGGCAUGUUGAAUCACAAGAUCUGAACAUAUCUGGCACAUGUUUAAGUGCGUGGCUAGAAUGUCGUAUGGGACAUCGAUUCUACUUAUCUUAAAGUAUUGACUGAUAAUGACAUUUGAUUAGUAAGUUCUUUUUUGUCUUGACUGAAUAUUUUUGAAGGGCAAAUGUACAGACAUAAUUUAAGGGCAAAUGUUAAUUCCAGCAACACACUGUAACACACACACACACAAUGCAGUUUGGUCAUCUACAGAUUUUGACAAUGUUGUGAAAGAGCACGCAAAACUUUAUUGUUGUGUGACCCAGACUUGGAACCACAGGAUUGAAUACCUUGUCUGUCAUCACCCCAUGAUCUCAACCACAGCUCGUCCUACGAUCUUGCCAUGAUUGAGAUCCUCAUAGGCGCCAUUCGCCUCCUCGAAUUUGCAUUUCCUUGAUAUGGUGUUCUGGAGAUUGAAGGCACCACUCUCCGCGAGCUUCACUAUCUGAGGAAGGUCUUUCCUGGCCCUUGCGCCAUAUGAGCCAAUGAUUU